AAAUAACAAAAAAGAACCACAU
This 22-nucleotide small nuclear RNA is filed under the name Arabidopsis thaliana (thale cress). Its description in RNAcentral is "snRNA_04328". The record is from RNAcentral. Lineage: Eukaryota; Viridiplantae; Streptophyta; Magnoliopsida; Brassicales; Brassicaceae.